Molecule: small RNA, 127 nt
Filed under: Marmota monax (woodchuck)
Lineage: Eukaryota; Metazoa; Chordata; Mammalia; Rodentia; Sciuridae
Source: RNAcentral
GCCUGGCGUGGUGGCACAUGCCUGUUAUCCCAGCAGCUCUGGAGGCUGAGGCAGGAGGAUCAUGAGUUCAAAGCCAGCCUCAGCAAUUUAGUGAGACCCUAAGCAACACAGUGAGAUCCUGUCUCUA